UACGAAGGGGGCUAGCGUUGCUCGGAAUUACUGGGCGUAAAGCGCACGUAGGCGGCUUGCCAAGUCGGACGUGAAAUCCCUCAGCUCAACUGAGGACGUGCAUCCGAAACUGGCGAGCUUGAGUACUGAAGAGGAUCGCGGAAUUCCCGGUGUAGAGGUGAAAUUCGUAGAUAUCGGGAGGAACACCAGUGGCGAAGGCGGCGAUCUGGGCAGAUACUGACGCUGAGGUGCGAAAGCGUGGGGAGCAAACAGG
RNAcentral lists this ribosomal RNA (253 nucleotides) under uncultured bacterium. RNAcentral's name for it is "partial 16S ribosomal RNA". It matches the Rfam family "Bacterial small subunit ribosomal RNA", at positions 524 to 776 of the family's 1533-position model. The record is from RNAcentral.